Molecule: ribosomal RNA, 441 nt
Filed under: Goffeauzyma gilvescens
Lineage: Eukaryota; Fungi; Basidiomycota; Tremellomycetes; Filobasidiales; Filobasidiaceae
Description: eukaryotic LSU rRNA
Rfam family: Eukaryotic large subunit ribosomal RNA
Source: RNAcentral
CGGGAAGAGCUCAAAUUUGAAAUCUAGUAGCCUUCGGCUGCUCGAGUUGUAAUCUAUAGAAGUGUUUUCCGUGCUGGCUCAUGUACAAGUCCCUUGGAACAGGGCGUCAUAGAGGGUGAGAAUCCCGUACUUGACAUGAAUCACCAGUGCUCUGUGAUACACUUUCAAAGAGUCGAGUUGUUUGGGAAUGCAGCUCAAAAUGGGUGGUAAAUUCCAUCUAAAGCUAAAUAUUGGCGAGAGACCGAUAGCGAACAAGUACCGUGAGGGAAAGAUGAAAAGCACUUUGGAAAGAGAGUUAAACAGUAUGUGAAAUUGUUAAAAGGGAAACGAUUGAAGUCAAUCAUGUCCUUGGGUCUUACCACCCUUGGAUGGGGUCAACAUCAGUUUUGAUCGGUGGAUAAGGAUAGGAGGAAGGUAGCACUCUCGGGUGAACUUAUAGCC